GACGAACGCUGGCGGCGUGCUUAACACAUGCAAGUCGAACGGAAAGGCCCUGCUUGCCGGGUACUCGAGUGGCGAACGGGUGAGUAACACGUGGGUGAUCUGCUCUGCACUUCGGGAUAAGCCUGGGAAACUGGGUCUAAUACUGGCUAGGAGCUAUUUUUAGUGUGAUGGUUGGAAAGUUUUUUCGGUGUAGGAUGAGCUCGCGGCCUAUCAGCUUGUUGGUGGGGUAAUGGCCUACCAAGGCGGCGACGGGUAGCCGGCCUGAGAGGGUGGACGGCCACAUUGGGACUGAGAUACGGCCCAGACACCUACGGGAGGCAGCAGGGGGGAAGAUUGCACAAGGGGCGCAGGCCGGAUGCAGCGACGCCGCGGAGGGGAUGACGGCCUUCGGGUUGUAAACUCCUUUCGCUAGGGACGAAGCUUUUUGUGACGGUACCUAGAUAAGAAGCACCGGCUAACUACGUG
Molecule: ribosomal RNA, 465 nt
Filed under: uncultured bacterium
Lineage: Bacteria
Description: partial 16S ribosomal RNA
Rfam family: Bacterial small subunit ribosomal RNA
Source: RNAcentral